RNAcentral lists this ribosomal RNA (547 nucleotides) under Fusarium oxysporum. RNAcentral describes it as "eukaryotic LSU rRNA". The stretch from base 182 to 335 matches the Rfam family "5.8S ribosomal RNA". The record is from RNAcentral. Lineage: Eukaryota; Fungi; Ascomycota; Sordariomycetes; Hypocreales; Nectriaceae.
UUCCGUAGGGGUGAACCUGCGGAGGGAUCAUUACCGAGUUUACAACUCCCAAACCCCUGUGAACAUACCACUUGUUGCCUCGGCGGAUCAGCCCGCUCCCGGUAAAACGGGACGGCCCGCCAGAGGACCCCUAAACUCUGUUUCUAUAUGUAACUUCUGAGUAAAACCAUAAAUAAAUCAAAACUUUCAACAACGGAUCUCUUGGUUCUGGCAUCGAUGAAGAACGCAGCAAAAUGCGAUAAGUAAUGUGAAUUGCAGAAUUCAGUGAAUCAUCGAAUCUUUGAACGCACAUUGCGCCCGCCAGUAUUCUGGCGGGCAUGCCUGUUCGAGCGUCAUUUCAACCCUCAAGCACAGCUUGGUGUUGGGACUCGCGUUAAUUCGCGUUCCUCAAAUUGAUUGGCGGUCACGUCGAGCUUCCAUAGCGUAGUAGUAAAACCCUCGUUACUGGUAAUCGUCGCGGCCACGCCGUUAAACCCCAACUUCUGAAUGUUGACCUCGGAUCAGGUAGGAAUACCCGCUGAACUUAAGCAUAUCAAUAAGCGGAGGA